Molecule: ribosomal RNA, 1032 nt
Filed under: uncultured organism
Description: bacterial SSU rRNA
Rfam family: Bacterial small subunit ribosomal RNA
Source: RNAcentral
AGGGGUCAGAAACCUGGUUUCGGCCAGUGGAUCAACCCCAGAGAAAGUCACGGCUAACUUUCGUGCCAGCAGCCGCGGUAAUACGAAGGUGGCAAGCGUUAUUCGGAAUCAUUGGGCUUAAAGGGCACGCAGGCGGAACAGUGUGUGUUGUGUGAAAUCUCCCGGCUUAACCGGGGAAUUGCACAGCAAACUGCUGUUCUUGAGGCAGGUAGGGGUGCAUGGAACUCUUGGUGGANCGGUGGAAUGCGUAGAUAUCAAGAGGAACGCCAGAGGUGAAGACGGUGCACUGGGCCUGUCCUGACGCUGAGGUGCGAAAGCGUGGGGAGCGAACGGGAUUAGAUACCCCGGUAGUCCACGCCGUAAACGAUGUCUACUAGGUCGUGGGUGUUCUGACACAUUCACGGCCGGAGCAAAAGUGUUUAGUAGACCGCCUGGGGAGUACGGCCGCAAGGUUAAAACUCAAAUGAAUUGACGGGGGCUCACACAAGCGGUGGAGCAUGUGGAUUAAUUCGAAGCAACGCGCAGAACCUUACCUGGGUUUGACAUGCUUGUAUGCCUUCUCUGAAAGGAGUUAGGCUGCCUUCGGGUGAAACUUGCACAGGUGCUGCAUGGCUGUCGUCAGCUCGUGUCGUGAGAUGUCGGGUUAAGUCCUUUAACGAGCGAAACCCUUGCCGUUAGUUGCCAGCGAGUAAUGUCGGGGACUCUAACGGGACUGCCGGUGUUAAACCGGAGGAAGGUGGGGAUGACGUCAAGUCCUCAUGGCCUUUAUGCCCAGGGCUUCACACGUGCUACAAUGGCAAUUACAGAGCGACGCGAUACCGCGAGGUGGAGCAAAUCGCAAAAAAAUUGCCUCAGUUCGGAUUGCAGGCUGGCAAUUCGCCUGCAUGAAGUCGGAAUCGCUAGUAAUCGCGUAUCAGCAAUGACGCGGUGAAUGUGUUCCUGAGCCUUGUACACACCGCCCGUCAAGUGAUGGAAGCCGGGAGUACCCGAAGUCGGGUUGCUAACCUUUGGGAGGCGCCUGCCGACGGUAAG